Small nuclear RNA from Ictalurus punctatus (channel catfish), 190 nucleotides. Its record names the gene U2. It matches the Rfam family "U2 spliceosomal RNA". From Rfam's summary of the family: U2 is a small nuclear RNA (snRNA) component of the spliceosome (involved in pre-mRNA splicing). The record is from Ensembl. Lineage: Eukaryota; Metazoa; Chordata; Actinopteri; Siluriformes; Ictaluridae.
AUCGCUUCUCGGCCUUUUGGCUAAGAUCAAGUGUAGUAUCUGUUCUUAUCAGUUUAAUAUCUGAUACGUCCCCUACCCGGGGACCAUAUAUUAAAUUGAUUUUUGGAGCAGGGAGAUGGAAUAGGGGCUUGCUCCGUCCACUCCACGCAUCGACCCGGUAUUGCAGUACUUCCGGGACGGUGCACCCCCC